This 1138-nucleotide long non-coding RNA is filed under the name Equus asinus (donkey). RNAcentral describes it as "lncRNA (ENSEASG00005029016.1)". The record is from RNAcentral. Lineage: Eukaryota; Metazoa; Chordata; Mammalia; Perissodactyla; Equidae.
AGAAAAGUGAUCAGGACCACUCCCGAUGCAUGGCUUCCCCAUCUCUUCCUGGGUAGGCCCUCUUGGGGAAAUAUCCCCACCUCUGUACCCAUGAUUGAGUCUUUAGGCAUAGAUAUCUUACUAAAGGAAUUUUUUGCUACCCUCCAUUCUUAGGGUUGUGACUUUCAGAGGAGAAAAUUCUCAGAACAGAUUAAAGCAGGUUAAACUCCAAGUUGCCAAUUUUCAUUGCAUAAGAAAUGAUUUCAUCAAGAACAUUGUGAUGAUACUCUUUAAAUAUUUAAUUGAGUAUGUAUUUAUACUUUCUAUACCCUUAUGUUAAAUAUCCUGUUACAGGAAAUGUUAAGAGUGGGAGAAAGGAAAAGGAUCUACUUAGUCAUUUCCUUUAGGCUUAAACUAUUUUCCAUCUUGAAAACACAAAUAGUAACAAUAUUCCAUGGUGCCUAACUUCUUUAGAAAAUCAUAUAUAAAAAUAUACAUAUAUAUGUGUGUAUGUGUGUAUUAUAUAUAUAGAAAUGUUCUUGGGUACCAUUUAAAUUUCUGGUUAUUUUUUCUUUAUAGUACAUUUGAAUGUUCCAAGUACAACCAUCAUUUUAUUUAACAACCAUUUAUUAAGCAACUACUGAGUUGCAAGUGCCACUGUAGAUAUACAUAAACAAAUAAAAUACAGUCCUGUCUUUUCAUAAAGGCUUUUAAUCUAGUGAGAUGGGGGUUACUGGGUUGAGUAGUGUCUCUCCAAAAUUAAUAUCUAUCUGAACCUCACAAUGCAACCUUAUUUGGAAAUAGGGUCUUUGCAGAUUUAAUUAAUUAAAUUAAGAUGAGGUUAGACUGGAUUAGGGCGAGCCAGGAAUGCCAAGGAUGGUGAGCAACUAUGAAGAGCAGGAGAAGGAAGGAAGAACGCCCUUACAGAGCUUUCAGAGAGAGCACAGCUCUGUAUAACACCUUGAUUGCAGACUUCUGGCUCCAGAAUGCUUCUUCCUGCAGAGCAUCCCCUCAGUAAAUCAUGGCACCUGAAUCUCCAUCUUGGACUCUGCUUCUGAAAACUGAACAUGAAACAGUAUAAGUCCAGCCACAUCCAAUGAGCAUGGCUGAAAUGUCUUCCAUAUCGAUCUUGAGGAGGGUCUGAUAAAGUGGCUGAACA